AAAGGGGAAAAAAAGAAAAGAACGGAGAAAAAAUUGGGUUGCCUGAAUCGCAAAGAUCGUGAGAUCUCUUAAGCACAGAGUUGUCUGAAUCGCUUCCUCUUCCAGCAUAUGAUUCCGAAGAUAAUAGCUCAAUAGGUGGUAAAGAGAUCUCGCGAUCUUUAUCGAGAAAUCCAUAUCCGUGUGCUGUUCUUAAUCGUUUUUGUAAUCUUUGAUUGUCUGAACGGUGUUUUAAGGAUUUCAUCAAAGAGGAAUACAAUUGAAGAAGACAAACAGGAAGAUACGACAUCGAAUUAAUUUUAAGGAUAGCUCUGGGUUUGAAGAAGAUGAUUUAACAUACACAUUUGAAAUGGUUGAAUUGUAAACAUCUACAACUGGUUAAAGUUUUGUUCAUCAAUUUGCAACAAUUGGGCCAGAUUUAUGUAAACGAUCUUUGUGGUUGAUCUAGGAAUACAGUUGAAGAAGAAAAGCUGAAAGAUAAGUGUGAAGAAUCAAUUUUAAGGUUAACAAUUUCUGUUUAGCAUUUUUUAAACACAUCUAAUGUUAAUUUUGUUAUUCGUGUAGGAUCGUUAUGGGUUUGGAAGAAGAUGAUCUACUUACACAUUUGGAAAUGUUUAGAUUGUAAAAAUCUACAACUGGUUUGUGCUAAAUUUGAAAGAUACGACGGGUCCAAUCAAACAUUAUGUGGGAGAUCCGUGUUCUCCAGAUGACAGAUAACUGGUACCUAUCAAGAUGUGUUCAUUCAAGCCAUCUUCUAGCCAUCUUCUGCAAUAAUAUCUGGAUAUGAAGCGAGAUCCAAAUAAAAGUCUAGUGACUCAGAAAGACACCGGAUUAUGUUUGUGGAGUUCAUGAGGGUCAUCUUGUAAGGAUGAUUGGUUGCCCAAAACUUCCCAGAAGAUCUUGUUAGCUGAAAGUUUUCGAUGAUUCUCCAUUCACCGAAAACAAUGUGCCUUUGGAACUUGUUCAACUGCUGCUUCUUUACCGUGGCAUGAAUCAAGGGCUUGAUAUCAGAGAGAGGAGUGAUACCAUCAUUAUUGGCCAUGAUCGAAUUGUUGGUGUAUGGAAUUAUAUUGUUAACUGGUACGAAGUUUCGGAUUUCAGUGAUUGUUUUCCUUGAAACGGUAAGAUUGUGUUUGCAACGAAAUGAUUUCGUGAAGAUUGUGCAAAUAAUAGGUGAUCUCUUUGUUAUUAGUCUUGAAUGGUGAAGCGGAGAUUAUGGAGCUGAGACUGAACUAUUUUCGGAAUUUUAUUUACUUAUUUCCUAAUUAUUUAAUGAUUUUGUUUAUAGGUGUAUGGAAUAAUCUUGAUAAGAUAAUUAAGUUUCGGAUUUUACUGUAAUUAUGCUUUUACUGUAAUUAUCGAAUAAUCUGUUUGGAUACAACUGAACUUUAAACAGGAUCCGAAUUGUGUUAUACUUA
Molecule: non-coding RNA, 1415 nt
Organism: Camelina sativa (false flax)
Lineage: Eukaryota; Viridiplantae; Streptophyta; Magnoliopsida; Brassicales; Brassicaceae
Source: RefSeq, a predicted model, not a curated record